This 484-nucleotide ribosomal RNA is filed under the name uncultured bacterium. RNAcentral describes it as "partial 16S ribosomal RNA". It matches the Rfam family "Bacterial small subunit ribosomal RNA", at positions 30 to 507 of the family's 1533-position model. The record is from RNAcentral.
AUUGAACGCUGGCGGCAGGCCUAACACAUGCAAGUCGAGCGGAUGAAGGCAGCUUGCUCCUGGAUUCAGCGGCGGACGGGUACGUAAUGCCUAGGAGUCUGCCUGGUAGUGGGGGAUAACGUCCGAAAACGGGCGCUAAUACCGCAUACGUCCUAAGGGAGAAAGUGGGGGAUCUUCGGACCUCACGCUAUCAGAUGAGCCUACGUCGGAUUAGCUAGUUGGUGGGGUAAAGGCCUACCAAGGCGACGAUCCGUAACUGGUCUGAGAGGAUGAUCAGUCACACUGGAACUGAGACACGGUCCAGACUCCUACGGGAGGCAGCAGUGGGGAAUAUUGGACAAUGGGCGAAAGCCUGAUCCAGCCAUGCCGCGUGUGUGAAGAAGGUCUUCGGAUUGUAAAGCACUUUAAGUUGGGAGGAAGGGCAGUAAGUUAAUACCUUGCUGUUUUGACGUUACCAACAGAAUAAGCACCGGCUAACUUCGUG